RNAcentral lists this ribosomal RNA (1067 nucleotides) under Salmonella enterica. Its description in RNAcentral is "bacterial SSU rRNA". It matches the Rfam family "Bacterial small subunit ribosomal RNA", at positions 1 to 1061 of the family's 1533-position model. Lineage: Bacteria; Pseudomonadati; Pseudomonadota; Gammaproteobacteria; Enterobacterales; Enterobacteriaceae. The record is from RNAcentral.
UGAAGAGUUUGAUCAUGGCUCAGAUUGAACGCUGGCGGCAGGCCUAACACAUGCAAGUCGAACGGUAACAGGAAGCAGCUUGCUGCUUUGCUGACGAGUGGCGGACGGGUGAGUAAUGUCUGGGAAACUGCCUGAUGGAGGGGGAUAACUACUGGAAACGGUGGCUAAUACCGCAUAACGUCGCAAGACCAAAGAGGGGGACCUUCGGGCCUCUUGCCAUCAGAUGUGCCCAGAUGGGAUUAGCUUGUUGGUGAGGUAACGGCUCACCAAGGCGACGAUCCCUAGCUGGUCUGAGAGGAUGACCAGCCACACUGGAACUGAGACACGGUCCAGACUCCUACGGGAGGCAGCAGUGGGGAAUAUUGCACAAUGGGCGCAAGCCUGAUGCAGCCAUGCCGCGUGUAUGAAGAAGGCCUUCGGGUUGUAAAGUACUUUCAGCGGGGAGGAAGGUGUUGUGGUUAAUAACCGCAGCAAUUGACGUUACCCGCAGAAGAAGCACCGGCUAACUCCGUGCCAGCAGCCGCGGUAAUACGGAGGGUGCAAGCGUUAAUCGGAAUUACUGGGCGUAAAGCGCACGCAGGCGGUCUGUCAAGUCGGAUGUGAAAUCCCCGGGCUCAACCUGGGAACUGCAUUCGAAACUGGCAGGCUUGAGUCUUGUAGAGGGGGGUAGAAUUCCAGGUGUAGCGGUGAAAUGCGUAGAGAUCUGGAGGAAUACCGGUGGCGAAGGCGGCCCCCUGGACAAAGACUGACGCUCAGGUGCGAAAGCGUGGGGAGCAAACAGGAUUAGAUACCCUGGUAGUCCACGCCGUAAACGAUGUCUACUUGGAGGUUGUGCCCUUGAGGCGUGGCUUCCGGAGCUAACGCGUUAAGUAGACCGCCUGGGGAGUACGGCCGCAAGGUUAAAACUCAAAUGAAUUGACGGGGGCCCGCACAAGCGGUGGAGCAUGUGGUUUAAUUCGAUGCAACGCGAAGAACCUUACCUGGUCUUGACAUCCACAGAACUUUCCAGAGAUGGAUUGGUGCCUUCGGGAACUGUGAGACAGGUGCUGCAUGGCUGUCGUCAGCUC